UGGGGUUAGCCCAGUCGAUAGAGCAUGAAACUCAUAAUUUCAGGGUUAUGGGUUUGAACCCCACAUUGGAAA
Molecule: non-coding RNA, 72 nt
Organism: Podarcis lilfordi (Lilford's wall lizard)
Lineage: Eukaryota; Metazoa; Chordata; Lepidosauria; Squamata; Lacertidae
Source: the annotation of a GenBank genome assembly